UAGAGGGUGAUCUUAGUACCCCGUCCAAGCUGCUCACCAGAGGUAUCACGUGUAACAGUGAAGGACCCACCGGCCUGUGACUCCCACACAUACUGCUCGUCGUCGUUGUGCUUGGUGGUCACAACAACCCUCUCAGCAACAAGGUAGGCGGAGUAGAACCCGACACCAAACUGCCCAAUCAUGGACACAUCAGCACCAGCAGCGAGCGCCUCCAUGAACUCCUUGGUCCCCGACCUGGCGAUGGUACCGAGGUUGUUGACGAGGUCCGACUUGGUCAUGCCGACACCACUGUCGAUGAUCGACAGGGUGUUGCUAGCCUUGUCGGGGACAAUGUGGAUGAACAGCUCCGGCUGCGCAUCGAGCUUGCUCUUGUCCGUGAGGCUCUCGAACCUAAUCUUAUCCAAUGCCUGCAGAAACCACACACACCCAUGUCACAUCGAAUUCAUCACCCAAACACACAGAUCUGUAAAAGCAUCAGCACACUACCACACUAUACAGAUUACACGCACGGGUAAACACACAACCCUCGCUGAUUUGUAACAAGUUUAUGCUAGUGCUCAGAUGUGGCCAUAUUCACAUUUCGAUGAGUAAAACAAACAAAUAAACUAGCACAAACUCUACAAAUCACGAGUCAACGCUCACACCUCAUUGAUUUGAAACAGGUCUACGCCCUAUCAGUAUAUGAUCCUCAGAUGCCGUCACGCUCACAGAUCGACGCGUACAACAACAGCAAAGAGCACAUAAGCAAGCACCGAUUUCGAUUCCUCGACGAGAGGGGAUUAAUUUCGGGGGCGGCGCAAACUUACAUCGGAGGAGUUGGAGAUGAGCUCGCGGAGGAAGAUCUCCUUGUUGGAGUAGAAGGUGUUGAUGAUGAGGGACAGCAGCUGGUUGAUCUCGGCCUGGAAGGCGAACGUCUCGGUCUCCGACGCCAUGGCCGCGCGCCUUGCGUGCUCCUGAUCUCUCGCCGGCGGGAAGAGGAGCUCGCGGGCGGAGGAGACGACGCGCGGCUGCGGCUGCGGCUGCGGCGGCGGCUAGGGUUAGGAGAGGGUUUUGAGAGGGCGAGAUCGUGGGGGUGGGAGAUGCUUUUAUGCGGUCCUCGUUGUUCUCGAACCUUCUACGUGGGCCUAGAAGCCGGCGAGGCCGCAGCGCGUGUUGACUAGUCGUUGCGGGUGGGCCAGGCCGGACCGGCAGUGAGAUUUUGCGCGUGAUUAGGUGUAGUGGGCGUAUAGAAGGCCAUAAAAUUCUGAAGAAAAUGAGGCCCAUAAAGCCCAUGAAGACAAGCGAGGGUCCAGUGGCCCGUAAAGCCCAUGAAAACAAACUAGGAUCAAGUCGCCAAUGAAGUCUAUGAAAACAAGCUAUGAAGCGCAUUCAAGACAGUAGAGGGUCCAGUCGCCGGCGAAGCCCAUGGAAAGAAAGGGAGGGUCAAGAGGAGAGAUUUGAUAAUUUAACCCUUUUCAAAAUGGGUUUCGAUUAUUAGAUUCUAAACCACUUUAAUCCACUCAGAUAGUCCCACGUGAAGUUGGAGAUGGAUAUUUGCAAAUAAACCCCUUCUACUAUUAUAGGCAUGUUCAGAUUGUAGCCAAAAUAAACCUUACCAAGUUUUGGCAAUACCAAAAUUUUAACAAGAUGGCAAUAUUGCCAACAUUUUGGCAGGAUUUCUUAUGUAUUGACCAAAUUUGGUAACAAACUAAACGUAUAUAUUUUUUGGCAACUUUGACAAAAAAAAUGGUAUGGUUGAAAAUGGCAUCAAAAUGAACAGGCCCUAUGUGUUCAAGAGUAUUAGUUGGAUACUUCCGGCCUCAUCGGUUACUCAUAUUUUCUAAUAAGCCAUUUUGGUUCAUUAGAUAAUAAAAAACUAAUUUAUUGGUAAAACUUUUUAUACAUGUGUUCUUAACGAUUUAAAAGUCGAUGCUGAAAAAAAAACUAUGUUGAAAAAAAUCUUUAAAUCAACUUCAAAAUUAAGUUUAAAAAUUCAAAUUUUAUCUUUUGCUUUGGCUUAUUAAGGCAACCGAUGGGGCUCUUCUUCUUUCUGUACAGAAAACAAUAUAGUUCAUUAGCACAUGAUUAAAUAUUAGUAAAAGAAUAAAAAUAGAUUAAUAUGAUUUUAAAAAUUCAACUUUUCUAUAGUAAAUUUUUUUAAGAAAAACACAAUGUUUAGUUGUUGAAGAAAUAUGCAUGAAAAACAAGGGAGUAAAAAGUGGAAAAGUGGUGUUUCUACCCUUCAACCAGAUGCAGCCAUGCAGGUCAUCUGCAAUAUUGUACAUGCAAUAUUGCUCACUGACAUGUGAACCCCAUAGCCUCUCGGGCUCACAUGUAAGUGAGCAGUACUGCUCAAUUGUCCUUCAACCAUCCUGUGGUCAGCACCACAAAUGGACGGAACGAGAGAUCGUGCGGUUGCACAUGAUUUAACGCCUUAAUUAACUACUCCAAGAUAUUAACCGCACUAAUGUCCUGCACCUGUGUUUGACUCGAGAGGGUAAUUAGCGUGGACGUCACUAAUGAUGGUCGUCGUCUACUCGUCUUUCGUACUCAGUGCGAUCGAUGAAGUGACAGUAAAUGUUAGCUAGCCAUGCACUUUGUACAGUUUCUUCGCCCAUUUCUGCACGCGGCUGACUGACCAGAUGCAAUGCACUUGUACACGUUUGGUAGGCCGUCUUCGAUCCAUUCCCGGUUAAUCAAAUGAUAUAUGUAAUUAUGUAUAUCUUCUCUUGUAUAUAUGCAGCAUGCUAGUAUAAUGUUAGGUACAGUUCUUUUGGGUUAUUUUUUUUAUCUCGAUUUUGUCAUGGCAACUACGAGCAAACGCUGCUUUUCCUGCUUGUCCUACGAGCCUGAACAAACGGCAGGAUGUUGCACAAAGUGACAGUCCUUGUUAGGUUUCUGCUCUUCUGCACUGCACUAUCCAUUUGCAAAUAUUUUGCAUGGAAGCUAGCAGAAAAUGCUAUGUGUUGUUCAUGAGUCUAAUCAAAGUUAAUUAAUCAAAUCUGAUGCUGUCUAAGGAGCAUAUUGGAAUGCAUCAAUCAUAUGAGUGUGUGUAACUUAUUGGUGCCCUUUGUGUGCCAAUGUCUCAUCCUCUGUCAUGUUCUCAAUGUAUCAACGCUGUAACUUCUCAAGAAUCAAUGUUUAUGUACUACUACUACAACUACAUAGUUUAACUAACUCCUAACCAGGGCUAAACUGAACCAACUAAACAAUUACGGAGUAUUACUGAACAACAAGAACAGCGCUUAAUUAGCAAUGCGCGUUUCGUUUCAUCUCACGCAGCAAUGACACACGCUUGCAACGCACCAGCUGUGUUUGUGAUCACUUUGUCAGUGCAUCAGCAAAUCGAGCACUGCAUGCAUACGCAUUUCCUGCUUUCUGGCGUGGUGGAGGCAGGAAAGCAACCUCCAACAUAUCAGCAUUCACCACCCAAUAUAUUACACAAUUUGUGACACAGGUCGGUCUCUCUGCCUGCCUUUCGGAACGGGAAGAGGUGUCAUUUUCCUAUGCCCAUUUCGAUCGUAGCCAAAUUGAUCUAGAUUUGAAAUAAAUUAUAUAUAUAUAUAUAUAUAUAUAUAUAUAUAUAUAUAUGGCAACGUAAUCCUUCUGUUUUAAAAUAUAAGCAUUUCGCAUUCAGGUUCCAAUGGGCAAGAAUUCAAGCAUUCUAAUCAAUCAGGUGCUUAUACGGUGAAUCCAGACAAUUCGAAAUUUGACCGGAAUUCUUUUUUCUUAUCCUUUAUCUUUGCUAAACAUCAUAGGAACAUUUACAUUUAGAGCGAUGCUGGGGAUCCACUUAAUUUAAGUGGCUCCGACUUGACGUACGACUGAUCUAAACGGCAAUUUACGCUCAGUCUGUGUUUAGUUCCACACUAAAAUUAGAAGUUUAAAAAAAUAGGAAUGAUGUGAUGGAAAAGUUGAAAAUUUGCGUACGUAGGAAAGUUCGAUGUGAUAAAAAAAUUAGAAGUUUGAAAAAAAAGUUGAAAUCUAAACAGGGCCUCCGUAGUGCGCGUGUUCGUGCUCGUGCAAUCAAGUUGGAUCGAGUUGGGAGUUGGAGUUGACAGUUCGUCACUAGCUCGAUCGCUAGUCGUCGCCGUGUGUGUAAUGCCAUGGUGCUCCUUGAUCGGACGCCGGCUAGUAGCUAGCCAGCAGCGUGUGUGGCGAACAACCUAAUCUUUUUCCUUCGCACGGGCGGCCGGCUGACGGCGACGAGCCGCCGACGACGAGGAGGACGACUUUGACGCCCGCGUGUGGUGUGGACCAGGGCACCAACAGCAGUGGUGGUUUAUGCGUUGCCAACUACUGACGAGAUGCUAUAUAAGCAGCAGCAAUGGCCAUCGCUUCAGCUGCACGGACAAAUUAAGCGAGGGAGUGAGAGCUAGCUAACUCAGGCUCAGCCAACUGAUCGCGAGCUGUGACGAGGUGAUCACCAUGGCGUCCUCGUCGUCGCUUCUUGUUCGUGGGAGAGCGUUCGCGCUGGUUGUGGCUGUAGCUCUGGUGGCUGCUCCUCGCCGGAUUAAUGGCGGCGCCGCCGGGCCGGCGGCGAGGACGAACGACCCCAACUGGCACGUCUUCAGCGUCAGCUCGCUGCUGCCGAGCUCGGCCUGCACUGCAUCGAAAGGUAGUGUCAGUUUUGCAGCCUGUCUCCUUUCGCAACUGUAUCUGAAACUGAAGCAGUUACUGCGGAAAAAUAAUGUAACCUGGUCGGCCAUUAACCAUCUCGAUCGAACUUGCUUUAUAUAAAUCUCGUCCAUUUGAUCAAACUGAGGAAUUGAAAAACCCAAUAAGAAAUCUGUUAGGCCAAUUUGGAGUAUGGUUAGUCUGUAUCCUGCAAACAAGUAUUGUGACUGAAGUAGCAUCUGCAUUAUUCUGAAAUUUUAGUACCACUGAAACUCAGCUACCGUGAUAGCAUAUGCAGCAUAUAUCGAAUUUAUAAGAUAUUCUAAGGGAAACAUAAUAUGUUUUACAGUAGUAUUGAUCAGAAUUACAUCAGGUAAUCUGUUGCUGAUUGAUGCGAGUAAACUUUUGGCAUGCUGAUGACUGAUCACUACACAAAAUUUUCAGUGCAGUAAAAAGCUUUGGGGCGGUUCAGAUUAAAGCCAUUUUUAACCAUACCAUUUUUUUUAAGUUGUCAAAAAAUAUAUACGUUUAGUUUAUUGCCAAAUAUGAUAAAUAAAUAAAUAAUCCUACUAAAAUUUUAGCAAUACUACCAUCUUACCAUCUUGCCAAAAUUUGGUAAGAUUUAUUUUAGCUACAAUCUGAACAUUCCCUUUCUUUGCUUCGAGUUGCAUUUGCACAAAUUGCAUUUCUCAUUUUCCCAUUCUGUUUUUCUUGCAGCGGCGUCCAACUCGUCGGCUCUCGGCGUCGUGCACCGGCACGGGCCGUGCUCGCCGGUGCAGGCUCGUCCUCGCGGCGGCGGCGGCGCUGUCACCCACGCCGAGAUCCUGGAACGCGACCAGGCCAGGGUCGACUCCAUCCACCGCAAGGUCGCCGGCGCCGGGGGCGCGCCGUCGGUGGUCGACCCGGCACGCGCCUCGGAGCAGGGCGUGUCGCUGCCGGCGCAGAGGGGCAUCUCCCUCGGCACCGGCAACUACGUCGUGUCCGUCGGGCUCGGGACGCCGGCGAAGCAGUACGCCGUGAUCUUCGACACCGGCAGCGACCUGUCGUGGGUGCAGUGCAAGCCCUGCGCCGACUGCUACGAGCAGCAGGACCCGCUGUUCGACCCGUCGCUGUCGUCGACGUACGCCGCCGUGGCGUGCGGCGCGCCGGAGUGCCAGGAGCUCGACGCGUCGGGCUGCUCGUCGGACAGCAGGUGCCGGUACGAGGUCCAGUACGGCGACCAGUCGCAGACCGACGGCAACCUCGUGCGCGACACGCUGACGCUCUCGGCGUCGGACACGCUCCCGGGCUUCGUCUUCGGGUGCGGCGACCAGAACGCCGGGCUGUUCGGCCAGGUCGACGGGCUGUUCGGCCUCGGCAGGGAGAAGGUGUCGCUGCCGUCGCAGGGCGCGCCGAGCUACGGCCCCGGAUUCACCUACUGCCUACCGUCGUCGUCGAGCGGCAGGGGCUACCUGUCCCUCGGCGGCGCCCCGCCGGCGAACGCGCAGUUCACGGCGCUGGCCGACGGCGCGACGCCGUCGUUCUACUACAUCGACCUCGUCGGCAUCAAGGUCGGCGGCCGCGCGAUCAGGAUCCCGGCGACGGCGUUCGCGGCGGCCGGCGGCACGGUGAUCGACUCCGGCACGGUGAUCACCCGCCUCCCGCCGCGCGCGUACGCGCCGCUCCGCGCGGCGUUCGCGCGCUCCAUGGCGCAGUACAAGAAGGCGCCCGCGCUGUCCAUCCUCGACACGUGCUACGACUUCACCGGCCACCGGACGGCGCAGAUACCCACGGUGGAGCUGGCGUUCGCCGGCGGCGCCACCGUCAGCCUCGACUUCACCGGCGUGCUCUACGUCUCCAAGGUGUCGCAGGCGUGCCUGGCGUUCGCGCCCAACGCCGACGACUCGUCCAUCGCCAUCCUCGGGAACACGCAGCAGAAGACGUUCGCCGUCGCGUACGACGUUGCCAACCAGAGGAUCGGCUUCGGCGCCAAGGGAUGCAGCUGAUUACAAUCCGAGAUGAUGAAUCAAUCGAUCAUUUUGUUUUGUUACAGUGACAUAUAUAUGGGGAAAAAAUAGUGAAAAAAAACUGCAAUAAAUAAGCAUCAUCGAUAGUGACAUGGAAGAAGUUGAAAACCGUUAAAAAUAUUUUUGAUGCAAACCAGUUCGGGCUAGUAACAGUAUUACAGUGUGCCUGAUAGUAGCACAUUUCAGGCUUUAUUUAAUUAUUUUUUUAUCACUCUCUGGACACUGAACAGUGAACACUAUACUACCACAAGAGGCAGCAGCUCACACAGUGAAAACCGAAAAGAUGUUACGGUGGUUUAUGGUACGAGUGUAAGUGGCGUGAAAUCCACUUGUAGGCUAAAAUAAACCGCAAAUCCACUUAUAAAUUAAAAUAAGUGGGUUCGCGGCUCACCGACCAACACCCAUAGUCUACCCACUUACACCGUCUAUGGCACGCCAUGGUGAUUGAUGGCGUCGGUGGCGGUGUCAACGCGGCCGGUGCCGGCGGCGGCAGCGGCGGUGUCGCCUUGUUGGUGGCGGCGCUGUGUGGCGACGGGGACGGCGGUGCCGGGGAUGGUGGGGGCGUCGGUGCCGCAGCCGCCGUGGGGGACGUCGGAGACGGGGAGGUGGCCGCGGGCGCCGUAGGCGCGCAGCUUGUAGUCCUCCAGGCCGUCGUCCUUCUUGUACUGCACGUACGGGCUGGUGUCCAUCGGCAGCUGCACCGUGUCGCCGGCGUCCGGCUUCCUCUGCUGCUGCUGCUGCUGGGUCUCCUUGGUUGCCUCCAUUGCAAGUCCUCCGCUUGAUCUGCAGCAAGAGUGCAGCCUUGUUUCUCUGAAUGUGUACUUGACCUGGUAGUAUCCAACACUGUUUAUAAUGGAUGUUGCUUUUGGCCUACUACUAGUAGAAUCCAAGACUAGUUUUAUGUGUGUGGAUAGAGCUAGGGAUUCGGGUUUCAUGGCCACCUCGCCAUGGCAGUGCACCAGGUGUCAAGCAGAGGAAGUACUCACGACGGGCAAUCGACACGUACCUCUAACCUCUGCCUCCGAUCCGAUACAGAUGCACGUGAGCUCAGCCAGCAGAUCAGCCGACACGUACCUCACGAUGUCCUCACAACGCAAAAACGCAUAUGUGCUCCAUCUCUCAACCGGCGGAUCAGUUCGUCAGUUGGGUUUGUGCUAGAGCGGAGGGGCAGAAAUUACUGGUCCACUACUACUAAGUAGUACUCGAGGUCGACCAAAGAUGAUUGAAACAACGAAAAGAUGAUUGAAACGGAAACAGAAAGCUCUCGAGGUCGACCAAAGAUGAUUGAAACAACGAAAUUCCCUGCAGAUGGUUAAUUGAUCAAAGCAAGAAGACAUUCGAGGCAUUCUAUCUUGCAGGCAUCAACAGUGAACAAACAUUCCAUCACUCAUUCAAACUAAAUAGCCUUGUACUAACAAAUUGAAGUUCAAGAAUACUGCAGGCUAAAAAUGGUCCAUCAUUCCAUCAAUUUGCAGCAACCAGGCAUACUAAGCUUACCAUCCACUAUCUAGCCAUACAAUAACAGAUGGAAGAAGUUCCAGCAUACUGCGGGCAAACAAUGGUCCAUCAUUCCAUCAAUUUGCAGCAACCAGGCUUAUUAGGAAGAAGUUCCAGAAUACUGGUCGGGCUGCUCACAACAGCUACUUGGAAUACUCAAGUUCAAGAUGGAAAUUGGCACACUCCAAGGGAUUCAGCCAACAUAAUUUGAUAAAAAAAGACGUUAUAAGUAUGAAUAAGAAGCUGGCAUAUACUUCGGCUAGUAGCAUUGCAACGCAAACAGUAUGACAAGGUACCACGCAUUGUUUAAGAGCUAAGACAAAGACAAAACUGAUGCAUCCAACGUACCAAAAAGAAAGCGAACAGCAGCAGUCAGAUAGCUAUGAGAAGAGAACUAGGAGAGGGAUAACUAGAAGGGACAGAAUGGCAUCCAUGGGUCCAUGACGUUUAGUCGACCUCCUCCAUCUUGCUCUCGCCGGCGUCGUCCUCCAGCGGCGGCAUGUCGGCGUCAGCCUCGGCGGACUCGUCCUCGUCGAUGCUCAGGCCGAGCUUGAGCAUGCGGUGGAUCCUGGUGCCGAAGGUGUUGGGGUCCUCCAAGCUGAAACCGGAGGUCAGCAGGGCAGUCUCGAAGAGCAGCAUCACCAGGUCCUUCACGGACUUGUCAUUCUUGUCCGCAUCGGCACGCUUGCGGAGCUCGUCCAUGAUGGCAUUCUCCGGGUUGAUCUCCAUGGUCUUCUUGCUAGACAUGUAGCCGGCCAUGCUGGAGUCCCUCAGAGCCUGGGCCUUCAUGAUCCUCUCCAUGUUAGCAGUCCAGCCAUACUCCCCAGUGACUAGACAGCAGGGAGAGUCCACCACACGGUCAGAGACAACAACCUUCUCCACCUUGUCACCGAGCACCUCCUUGAUCACCUUGCACAGACCCUCGAACUUCUCCUUGAGUUCCUCCUGCCGCUUCUUCUCGUCCUCACUCUCAUCAAGCUUCAGACCUUCCUUGGUGGCAGAGACGAGCUUCUUGCCUUCAAACUCCUUAAGCUGACCAACAGCGUACUCAUCAAUGGCAUCAACCAUGUACAGGACCUCAUAACCCUUCUUCUUCAGCUUCUCGAGGAAGGGGGAGUUCUCAACAGCCUUCUUGCUCUCACCAGUGAUGUAAUAGAUCUCACUCUGGCCCUCCUUCAUCCGGGUUACGUAGUCCUUGAGGCUGGUCAACUCAUCACCACUCUUGGUGGAGUGAUACCUCAGGAGCUCAGCAAUCUUGGUCCUGUUGGUGGAAUCCUCAUGGAUGCCAAGCUUGAGAUUCUUGGAGAAAGCCUCGUAGAACUUGUUGUAGUCUUCCUUGUUCUCAGCGAUCUCAAAGAAGAGCUCCACGCACUUCUUCACAAGGUUCUUGCGGAUCACCUUCAGGAUCUUGUUCUGCUGGAGCAUCUCACGUGAGAUGUUGAGGGGAAGGUCUUCAGAAUCAACAAUGCCCUUGACAAAGCUGAGCCACUCUGGGAUCAACUCCUCACAGUUGUCCAUGAUAAACACCCGGCGUACGUACAGCUUGAUGUUGUUUUGCUUCUUCCUGGUGUCAAAGAGGUCAAAUGGCGCUCUCUUUGGUACAAACAGGAUGGCCUUGAAUUCAAGCUGACCCUCCACAGAGAAGUGCUUGACAGCCAGAUGUUCCUCCCAGUCGUUUGUCAAGCUCUUGUAGAAAGCAGCGUACUCUUCCUUGGUGAUCUCCUCUGGCUUCCUCAACCAAAUGGGUUUCUGCUUGUUCAUCACGUUCCACUCGUGAGAGACUUCCUUGAUCUUCUUCUUUUUCUUCUCUUUCUCUUCCUUCUCCUCAUCAACAUCCUCAACCUUUCCCUCCUCAGCAUCCUUCUUCUCUUCCUCGUCUUCAUCAUCAGAAAUCUCCUUCUCAGUUGUCUUCUCAGUCCAUAGGGAGAUAGGGUAGCUGAUGAACUCAGAAUGCUUCUUCACCAGAUCCUUGAGGCGACGCUCCUCAAGGUAUUCCAGCUGCAAGCAAAAAUUGCAGUUGUUUAUUAAACAACAAACAGCAAGAGAACACAAGAGACAAGAAACAAAACAAACAAUACAAGUAUUUAUUUCAACAAGGUGUUAUGCUGCUAUGCAUUCUGAUAAGAACAUUGGGACAAACGAUAUACUCCCUCCGUUUCGAAAUGUUUGACGCCGUUGACUUUUUAGCACAUGUUUGACCGUUCGUCUUAUUCAAAAAAAUUAAGUAAUUAUUAAUUCUUUUCCUAUCAUUUGAUUCAUUGUUAAAUAUAUUUUUGUGUAGGCAUAUAAUUUUACAUAUCUCACAAAAGUUUUUGAAUAAGACGAACGGUCAAACAUGUGCUAAAAAAGUCAACGGUGUCAAACAUUUCAAAACGAAGGGAGUAUAUAAAUUGAUUAGCAGAAUACAACAACAAAGACAGACCAUAACUAUGUAACAAUGUUAGCAUACAAGGAAGUCAUAACUACAGCACAAAAGAACAGAGACAAGCUGAAAAGCAGUAAAUCUCAAAAUUCAUUUCAUGUUAAUGGAAAACAGUAAGAUGUAUACAACUAAAUCUCAAAAUUCAUUUCAUAUUAAUGGAAAACAGUAAGAUGUAUACAACAGCAAAUAUGCAUUGUUACAACUAAUACUAUUGCUUCAUUAAGUGAUUACUACCGAGGAAACCCAGAUCACUAGUUCAGAAUUACAGUUUAGCGGCAUUGUUAAUUUUUAGUCAAUAUAACCAAGAGAGCAAGAUACCACUAUUCCAAAAACUGCUGUACACCCCUAAUCUAUACAGUUCAUUUAUUGUAGCAUACAAGGAAGUCACAACUACAGCACAAAAGAACAGAAAGACAAGCUGAAAGCAGUAAAUCUCAAAAUUCAUUUCAUGUUAACGGAAAACAGUAAGAUGUAUACUACACCAAAUAUAUAUUGUUACAACUAAUACUAUUGUUUAAUUAAGUGAUUACUACCAAAGAAACCCAUAUCACUAGUUCAGAAUUACGGUUUAUCAGCAAUGUUGAUUUUCAGUAAAUGUAACCAAGAGAACAAGAUACCACUAUUCCAAAAACUGCUGUACACCCCUAAUCUAUACAGUUCAUUUAUUGUACUACAAAAUGAGCACCAUGUCAUCAAGACAACCUCUUAUUAAAGUAGCAAGAAUAUUUCUUCAGAACAUGCUAACAGUCAAGAAAGAUCAUGUACACUGGUAGCAUGCCAACUCAACCAUACAGGCCCGAACUCAUCCAAUUGUCAUAUGUACAGAACAUCUAAAGUUCUGACAAAAAAAACAUCACAUGGACAGCAACAUAUAUCACACAAGUAAUAGGAAUUCACAAGAGAAAUGUGCUGAAUCUUAUACCUGAUCAUCCUUGAGGUAGAGGGUGAUCUUAGUACCCCGUCCAAGCUGCUCACCAGAGGUAUCACGUGUAACAGUGAAGGACCCACCGGCCUGUGACUCCCACACAUACUGCUCGUCGUCGUUGUGCUUGGUGGUCACAACAACCCUCUCAGCAACAAGGUAGGCGGAGUAGAACCCGACACCAAACUGCCCAAUCAUGGACACAUCAGCACCAGCAGCGAGCGCCUCCAUGAACUCCUUGGUCCCCGACCUGGCGAUGGUACCGAGGUUGUUGACGAGGUCCGACUUGGUCAUGCCGACACCACUGUCGAUGAUCGACAGGGUGUUGCUAGCCUUGUCGGGGACAAUGUGGAUGAACAGCUCCGGCUGCGCAUCGAGCUUGCUCUUGUCCGUGAGGCUCUCGAACCUAAUCUUAUCCAAUGCCUGCAGAAACCACACACACCCAUGUCACAUCGAAUUCAUCACCCAAACACACAGAUCUGUAAAAGCAUCAGCACACUACCACACUAUACAGAUUACACGCACGGGUAAACACACAACCCUCGCUGAUUUGUAACAAGUUUAUGCUAGUGCUCAGAUGUGGCCAUAUUCACAUUUCGAUGAGUAAAACAAACAAAUAAACUAGCACAAACUCUACAAAUCACGAGUCAACGCUCACACCUCAUUGAUUUGAAACAGGUCUACGCCCUAUCAGUAUAUGAUCCUCAGAUGCCGUCACGCUCACAGAUCGACGCGUACAACAACAGCAAAGAGCACAUAAGCAAGCACCGAUUUCGAUUCCUCGACGAGAGGGGAUUAAUUUCGGGGGCGGCGCAAACUUACAUCGGAGGAGUUGGAGAUGAGCUCGCGGAGGAAGAUCUCCUUGUUGGAGUAGAAGGUGUUGAUGAUGAGGGACAGCAGCUGGUUGAUCUCGGCCUGGAAGGCGAACGUCUCGGUCUCCGACGCCAUGGCCGCGCGCCUUGCGUGCUCCUGAUCUCUCGCCGGCGGGAAGAGGAGCUCGCGGGCGGAGGAGACGACGCGCGGCUGCGGCUGCGGCUGCGGCGGCGGCUAGGGUUAGGAGAGGGUUUUGAGAGGGCGAGAUCGUGGGGGUGGGAGAUGCUUUUAUGCGGUCCUCGUUGUUCUCGAACCUUCUACGUGGGCCUAGAAGCCGGCGAGGCCGCAGCGCGUGUUGACUAGUCGUUGCGGGUGGGCCAGGCCGGACCGGCAGUGAGAUUUUGCGCGUGAUUAGGUGUAGUGGGCGUAUAGAAGGCCAUAAAAUUCUGAAGAAAAUGAGGCCCAUAAAGCCCAUGAAGACAAGCGAGGGUCCAGUGGCCCGUAAAGCCCAUGAAAACAAACUAGGAUCAAGUCGCCAAUGAAGUCUAUGAAAACAAGCUAUGAAGCGCAUUCAAGACAGUAGAGGGUCCAGUCGCCGGCGAAGCCCAUGGAAAGAAAGGGAGGGUCAAGAGGAGAGAUUUGAUAAUUUAACCCUUUUCAAAAUGGGUUUCGAUUAUUAGAUUCUAAACCACUUUAAUCCACUCAGAUAGUCCCACGUGAAGUUGGAGAUGGAUAUUUGCAAAUAAACCCCUUCUACUAUUAUAGGCAUGUUCAGAUUGUAGCCAAAAUAAACCUUACCAAGUUUUGGCAAUACCAAAAUUUUAACAAGAUGGCAAUAUUGCCAACAUUUUGGCAGGAUUUCUUAUGUAUUGACCAAAUUUGGUAACAAACUAAACGUAUAUAUUUUUUGGCAACUUUGACAAAAAAAAUGGUAUGGUUGAAAAUGGCAUCAAAAUGAACAGGCCCUAUGUGUUCAAGAGUAUUAGUUGGAUACUUCCGGCCUCAUCGGUUACUCAUAUUUUCUAAUAAGCCAUUUUGGUUCAUUAGAUAAUAAAAAACUAAUUUAUUGGUAAAACUUUUUAUACAUGUGUUCUUAACGAUUUAAAAGUCGAUGCUGAAAAAAAAACUAUGUUGAAAAAAAUCUUUAAAUCAACUUCAAAAUUAAGUUUAAAAAUUCAAAUUUUAUCUUUUGCUUUGGCUUAUUAAGGCAACCGAUGGGGCUCUUCUUCUUUCUGUACAGAAAACAAUAUAGUUCAUUAGCACAUGAUUAAAUAUUAGUAAAAGAAUAAAAAUAGAUUAAUAUGAUUUUAAAAAUUCAACUUUUCUAUAGUAAAUUUUUUUAAGAAAAACACAAUGUUUAGUUGUUGAAGAAAUAUGCAUGAAAAACAAGGGAGUAAAAAGUGGAAAAGUGGUGUUUCUACCCUUCAACCAGAUGCAGCCAUGCAGGUCAUCUGCAAUAUUGUACAUGCAAUAUUGCUCACUGACAUGUGAACCCCAUAGCCUCUCGGGCUCACAUGUAAGUGAGCAGUACUGCUCAAUUGUCCUUCAACCAUCCUGUGGUCAGCACCACAAAUGGACGGAACGAGAGAUCGUGCGGUUGCACAUGAUUUAACGCCUUAAUUAACUACUCCAAGAUAUUAACCGCACUAAUGUCCUGCACCUGUGUUUGACUCGAGAGGGUAAUUAGCGUGGACGUCACUAAUGAUGGUCGUCGUCUACUCGUCUUUCGUACUCAGUGCGAUCGAUGAAGUGACAGUAAAUGUUAGCUAGCCAUGCACUUUGUACAGUUUCUUCGCCCAUUUCUGCACGCGGCUGACUGACCAGAUGCAAUGCACUUGUACACGUUUGGUAGGCCGUCUUCGAUCCAUUCCCGGUUAAUCAAAUGAUAUAUGUAAUUAUGUAUAUCUUCUCUUGUAUAUAUGCAGCAUGCUAGUAUAAUGUUAGGUACAGUUCUUUUGGGUUAUUUUUUUUAUCUCGAUUUUGUCAUGGCAACUACGAGCAAACGCUGCUUUUCCUGCUUGUCCUACGAGCCUGAACAAACGGCAGGAUGUUGCACAAAGUGACAGUCCUUGUUAGGUUUCUGCUCUUCUGCACUGCACUAUCCAUUUGCAAAUAUUUUGCAUGGAAGCUAGCAGAAAAUGCUAUGUGUUGUUCAUGAGUCUAAUCAAAGUUAAUUAAUCAAAUCUGAUGCUGUCUAAGGAGCAUAUUGGAAUGCAUCAAUCAUAUGAGUGUGUGUAACUUAUUGGUGCCCUUUGUGUGCCAAUGUCUCAUCCUCUGUCAUGUUCUCAAUGUAUCAACGCUGUAACUUCUCAAGAAUCAAUGUUUAUGUACUACUACUACAACUACAUAGUUUAACUAACUCCUAACCAGGGCUAAACUGAACCAACUAAACAAUUACGGAGUAUUACUGAACAACAAGAACAGCGCUUAAUUAGCAAUGCGCGUUUCGUUUCAUCUCACGCAGCAAUGACACACGCUUGCAACGCACCAGCUGUGUUUGUGAUCACUUUGUCAGUGCAUCAGCAAAUCGAGCACUGCAUGCAUACGCAUUUCCUGCUUUCUGGCGUGGUGGAGGCAGGAAAGCAACCUCCAACAUAUCAGCAUUCACCACCCAAUAUAUUACACAAUUUGUGACACAGGUCGGUCUCUCUGCCUGCCUUUCGGAACGGGAAGAGGUGUCAUUUUCCUAUGCCCAUUUCGAUCGUAGCCAAAUUGAUCUAGAUUUGAAAUAAAUUAUAUAUAUAUAUAUAUAUAUAUAUAUAUAUAUAUAUAUGGCAACGUAAUCCUUCUGUUUUAAAAUAUAAGCAUUUCGCAUUCAGGUUCCAAUGGGCAAGAAUUCAAGCAUUCUAAUCAAUCAGGUGCUUAUACGGUGAAUCCAGACAAUUCGAAAUUUGACCGGAAUUCUUUUUUCUUAUCCUUUAUCUUUGCUAAACAUCAUAGGAACAUUUACAUUUAGAGCGAUGCUGGGGAUCCACUUAAUUUAAGUGGCUCCGACUUGACGUACGACUGAUCUAAACGGCAAUUUACGCUCAGUCUGUGUUUAGUUCCACACUAAAAUUAGAAGUUUAAAAAAAUAGGAAUGAUGUGAUGGAAAAGUUGAAAAUUUGCGUACGUAGGAAAGUUCGAUGUGAUAAAAAAAUUAGAAGUUUGAAAAAAAAGUUGAAAUCUAAACAGGGCCUCCGUAGUGCGCGUGUUCGUGCUCGUGCAAUCAAGUUGGAUCGAGUUGGGAGUUGGAGUUGACAGUUCGUCACUAGCUCGAUCGCUAGUCGUCGCCGUGUGUGUAAUGCCAUGGUGCUCCUUGAUCGGACGCCGGCUAGUAGCUAGCCAGCAGCGUGUGUGGCGAACAACCUAAUCUUUUUCCUUCGCACGGGCGGCCGGCUGACGGCGACGAGCCGCCGACGACGAGGAGGACGACUUUGACGCCCGCGUGUGGUGUGGACCAGGGCACCAACAGCAGUGGUGGUUUAUGCGUUGCCAACUACUGACGAGAUGCUAUAUAAGCAGCAGCAAUGGCCAUCGCUUCAGCUGCACGGACAAAUUAAGCGAGGGAGUGAGAGCUAGCUAACUCAGGCUCAGCCAACUGAUCGCGAGCUGUGACGAGGUGAUCACCAUGGCGUCCUCGUCGUCGCUUCUUGUUCGUGGGAGAGCGUUCGCGCUGGUUGUGGCUGUAGCUCUGGUGGCUGCUCCUCGCCGGAUUAAUGGCGGCGCCGCCGGGCCGGCGGCGAGGACGAACGACCCCAACUGGCACGUCUUCAGCGUCAGCUCGCUGCUGCCGAGCUCGGCCUGCACUGCAUCGAAAGGUAGUGUCAGUUUUGCAGCCUGUCUCCUUUCGCAACUGUAUCUGAAACUGAAGCAGUUACUGCGGAAAAAUAAUGUAACCUGGUCGGCCAUUAACCAUCUCGAUCGAACUUGCUUUAUAUAAAUCUCGUCCAUUUGAUCAAACUGAGGAAUUGAAAAACCCAAUAAGAAAUCUGUUAGGCCAAUUUGGAGUAUGGUUAGUCUGUAUCCUGCAAACAAGUAUUGUGACUGAAGUAGCAUCUGCAUUAUUCUGAAAUUUUAGUACCACUGAAACUCAGCUACCGUGAUAGCAUAUGCAGCAUAUAUCGAAUUUAUAAGAUAUUCUAAGGGAAACAUAAUAUGUUUUACAGUAGUAUUGAUCAGAAUUACAUCAGGUAAUCUGUUGCUGAUUGAUGCGAGUAAACUUUUGGCAUGCUGAUGACUGAUCACUACACAAAAUUUUCAGUGCAGUAAAAAGCUUUGGGGCGGUUCAGAUUAAAGCCAUUUUUAACCAUACCAUUUUUUUUAAGUUGUCAAAAAAUAUAUACGUUUAGUUUAUUGCCAAAUAUGAUAAAUAAAUAAAUAAUCCUACUAAAAUUUUAGCAAUACUACCAUCUUACCAUCUUGCCAAAAUUUGGUAAGAUUUAUUUUAGCUACAAUCUGAACAUUCCCUUUCUUUGCUUCGAGUUGCAUUUGCACAAAUUGCAUUUCUCAUUUUCCCAUUCUGUUUUUCUUGCAGCGGCGUCCAACUCGUCGGCUCUCGGCGUCGUGCACCGGCACGGGCCGUGCUCGCCGGUGCAGGCUCGUCCUCGCGGCGGCGGCGGCGCUGUCACCCACGCCGAGAUCCUGGAACGCGACCAGGCCAGGGUCGACUCCAUCCACCGCAAGGUCGCCGGCGCCGGGGGCGCGCCGUCGGUGGUCGACCCGGCACGCGCCUCGGAGCAGGGCGUGUCGCUGCCGGCGCAGAGGGGCAUCUCCCUCGGCACCGGCAACUACGUCGUGUCCGUCGGGCUCGGGACGCCGGCGAAGCAGUACGCCGUGAUCUUCGACACCGGCAGCGACCUGUCGUGGGUGCAGUGCAAGCCCUGCGCCGACUGCUACGAGCAGCAGGACCCGCUGUUCGACCCGUCGCUGUCGUCGACGUACGCCGCCGUGGCGUGCGGCGCGCCGGAGUGCCAGGAGCUCGACGCGUCGGGCUGCUCGUCGGACAGCAGGUGCCGGUACGAGGUCCAGUACGGCGACCAGUCGCAGACCGACGGCAACCUCGUGCGCGACACGCUGACGCUCUCGGCGUCGGACACGCUCCCGGGCUUCGUCUUCGGGUGCGGCGACCAGAACGCCGGGCUGUUCGGCCAGGUCGACGGGCUGUUCGGCCUCGGCAGGGAGAAGGUGUCGCUGCCGUCGCAGGGCGCGCCGAGCUACGGCCCCGGAUUCACCUACUGCCUACCGUCGUCGUCGAGCGGCAGGGGCUACCUGUCCCUCGGCGGCGCCCCGCCGGCGAACGCGCAGUUCACGGCGCUGGCCGACGGCGCGACGCCGUCGUUCUACUACAUCGACCUCGUCGGCAUCAAGGUCGGCGGCCGCGCGAUCAGGAUCCCGGCGACGGCGUUCGCGGCGGCCGGCGGCACGGUGAUCGACUCCGGCACGGUGAUCACCCGCCUCCCGCCGCGCGCGUACGCGCCGCUCCGCGCGGCGUUCGCGCGCUCCAUGGCGCAGUACAAGAAGGCGCCCGCGCUGUCCAUCCUCGACACGUGCUACGACUUCACCGGCCACCGGACGGCGCAGAUACCCACGGUGGAGCUGGCGUUCGCCGGCGGCGCCACCGUCAGCCUCGACUUCACCGGCGUGCUCUACGUCUCCAAGGUGUCGCAGGCGUGCCUGGCGUUCGCGCCCAACGCCGACGACUCGUCCAUCGCCAUCCUCGGGAACACGCAGCAGAAGACGUUCGCCGUCGCGUACGACGUUGCCAACCAGAGGAUCGGCUUCGGCGCCAAGGGAUGCAGCUGAUUACAAUCCGAGAUGAUGAAUCAAUCGAUCAUUUUGUUUUGUUACAGUGACAUAUAUAUGGGGAAAAAAUAGUGAAAAAAAACUGCAAUAAAUAAGCAUCAUCGAUAGUGACAUGGAAGAAGUUGAAAACCGUUAAAAAUAUUUUUGAUGCAAACCAGUUCGGGCUAGUAACAGUAUUACAGUGUGCCUGAUAGUAGCACAUUUCAGGCUUUAUUUAAUUAUUUUUUUAUCACUCUCUGGACACUGAACAGUGAACACUAUACUACCACAAGAGGCAGCAGCUCACACAGUGAAAACCGAAAAGAUGUUACGGUGGUUUAUGGUACGAGUGUAAGUGGCGUGAAAUCCACUUGUAGGCUAAAAUAAACCGCAAAUCCACUUAUAAAUUAAAAUAAGUGGGUUCGCGGCUCACCGACCAACACCCAUAGUCUACCCACUUACACCGUCUAUGGCACGCCAUGGUGAUUGAUGGCGUCGGUGGCGGUGUCAACGCGGCCGGUGCCGGCGGCGGCAGCGGCGGUGUCGCCUUGUUGGUGGCGGCGCUGUGUGGCGACGGGGACGGCGGUGCCGGGGAUGGUGGGGGCGUCGGUGCCGCAGCCGCCGUGGGGGACGUCGGAGACGGGGAGGUGGCCGCGGGCGCCGUAGGCGCGCAGCUUGUAGUCCUCCAGGCCGUCGUCCUUCUUGUACUGCACGUACGGGCUGGUGUCCAUCGGCAGCUGCACCGUGUCGCCGGCGUCCGGCUUCCUCUGCUGCUGCUGCUGCUGGGUCUCCUUGGUUGCCUCCAUUGCAAGUCCUCCGCUUGAUCUGCAGCAAGAGUGCAGCCUUGUUUCUCUGAAUGUGUACUUGACCUGGUAGUAUCCAACACUGUUUAUAAUGGAUGUUGCUUUUGGCCUACUACUAGUAGAAUCCAAGACUAGUUUUAUGUGUGUGGAUAGAGCUAGGGAUUCGGGUUUCAUGGCCACCUCGCCAUGGCAGUGCACCAGGUGUCAAGCAGAGGAAGUACUCACGACGGGCAAUCGACACGUACCUCUAACCUCUGCCUCCGAUCCGAUACAGAUGCACGUGAGCUCAGCCAGCAGAUCAGCCGACACGUACCUCACGAUGUCCUCACAACGCAAAAACGCAUAUGUGCUCCAUCUCUCAACCGGCGGAUCAGUUCGUCAGUUGGGUUUGUGCUAGAGCGGAGGGGCAGAAAUUACUGGUCCACUACUACUAAGUAGUACUCGAGGUCGACCAAAGAUGAUUGAAACAACGAAAAGAUGAUUGAAACGGAAACAGAAAGCUCUCGAGGUCGACCAAAGAUGAUUGAAACAACGAAAUUCCCUGCAGAUGGUUAAUUGAUCAAAGCAAGAAGACAUUCGAGGCAUUCUAUCUUGCAGGCAUCAACAGUGAACAAACAUUCCAUCACUCAUUCAAACUAAAUAGCCUUGUACUAACAAAUUGAAGUUCAAGAAUACUGCAGGCUAAAAAUGGUCCAUCAUUCCAUCAAUUUGCAGCAACCAGGCAUACUAAGCUUACCAUCCACUAUCUAGCCAUACAAUAACAGAUGGAAGAAGUUCCAGCAUACUGCGGGCAAACAAUGGUCCAUCAUUCCAUCAAUUUGCAGCAACCAGGCUUAUUAGGAAGAAGUUCCAGAAUACUGGUCGGGCUGCUCACAACAGCUACUUGGAAUACUCAAGUUCAAGAUGGAAAUUGGCACACUCCAAGGGAUUCAGCCAACAUAAUUUGAUAAAAAAAGACGUUAUAAGUAUGAAUAAGAAGCUGGCAUAUACUUCGGCUAGUAGCAUUGCAACGCAAACAGUAUGACAAGGUACCACGCAUUGUUUAAGAGCUAAGACAAAGACAAAACUGAUGCAUCCAACGUACCAAAAAGAAAGCGAACAGCAGCAGUCAGAUAGCUAUGAGAAGAGAACUAGGAGAGGGAUAACUAGAAGGGACAGAAUGGCAUCCAUGGGUCCAUGACGUUUAGUCGACCUCCUCCAUCUUGCUCUCGCCGGCGUCGUCCUCCAGCGGCGGCAUGUCGGCGUCAGCCUCGGCGGACUCGUCCUCGUCGAUGCUCAGGCCGAGCUUGAGCAUGCGGUGGAUCCUGGUGCCGAAGGUGUUGGGGUCCUCCAAGCUGAAACCGGAGGUCAGCAGGGCAGUCUCGAAGAGCAGCAUCACCAGGUCCUUCACGGACUUGUCAUUCUUGUCCGCAUCGGCACGCUUGCGGAGCUCGUCCAUGAUGGCAUUCUCCGGGUUGAUCUCCAUGGUCUUCUUGCUAGACAUGUAGCCGGCCAUGCUGGAGUCCCUCAGAGCCUGGGCCUUCAUGAUCCUCUCCAUGUUAGCAGUCCAGCCAUACUCCCCAGUGACUAGACAGCAGGGAGAGUCCACCACACGGUCAGAGACAACAACCUUCUCCACCUUGUCACCGAGCACCUCCUUGAUCACCUUGCACAGACCCUCGAACUUCUCCUUGAGUUCCUCCUGCCGCUUCUUCUCGUCCUCACUCUCAUCAAGCUUCAGACCUUCCUUGGUGGCAGAGACGAGCUUCUUGCCUUCAAACUCCUUAAGCUGACCAACAGCGUACUCAUCAAUGGCAUCAACCAUGUACAGGACCUCAUAACCCUUCUUCUUCAGCUUCUCGAGGAAGGGGGAGUUCUCAACAGCCUUCUUGCUCUCACCAGUGAUGUAAUAGAUCUCACUCUGGCCCUCCUUCAUCCGGGUUACGUAGUCCUUGAGGCUGGUCAACUCAUCACCACUCUUGGUGGAGUGAUACCUCAGGAGCUCAGCAAUCUUGGUCCUGUUGGUGGAAUCCUCAUGGAUGCCAAGCUUGAGAUUCUUGGAGAAAGCCUCGUAGAACUUGUUGUAGUCUUCCUUGUUCUCAGCGAUCUCAAAGAAGAGCUCCACGCACUUCUUCACAAGGUUCUUGCGGAUCACCUUCAGGAUCUUGUUCUGCUGGAGCAUCUCACGUGAGAUGUUGAGGGGAAGGUCUUCAGAAUCAACAAUGCCCUUGACAAAGCUGAGCCACUCUGGGAUCAACUCCUCACAGUUGUCCAUGAUAAACACCCGGCGUACGUACAGCUUGAUGUUGUUUUGCUUCUUCCUGGUGUCAAAGAGGUCAAAUGGCGCUCUCUUUGGUACAAACAGGAUGGCCUUGAAUUCAAGCUGACCCUCCACAGAGAAGUGCUUGACAGCCAGAUGUUCCUCCCAGUCGUUUGUCAAGCUCUUGUAGAAAGCAGCGUACUCUUCCUUGGUGAUCUCCUCUGGCUUCCUCAACCAAAUGGGUUUCUGCUUGUUCAUCACGUUCCACUCGUGAGAGACUUCCUUGAUCUUCUUCUUUUUCUUCUCUUUCUCUUCCUUCUCCUCAUCAACAUCCUCAACCUUUCCCUCCUCAGCAUCCUUCUUCUCUUCCUCGUCUUCAUCAUCAGAAAUCUCCUUCUCAGUUGUCUUCUCAGUCCAUAGGGAGAUAGGGUAGCUGAUGAACUCAGAAUGCUUCUUCACCAGAUCCUUGAGGCGACGCUCCUCAAGGUAUUCCAGCUGCAAGCAAAAAUUGCAGUUGUUUAUUAAACAACAAACAGCAAGAGAACACAAGAGACAAGAAACAAAACAAACAAUACAAGUAUUUAUUUCAACAAGGUGUUAUGCUGCUAUGCAUUCUGAUAAGAACAUUGGGACAAACGAUAUACUCCCUCCGUUUCGAAAUGUUUGACGCCGUUGACUUUUUAGCACAUGUUUGACCGUUCGUCUUAUUCAAAAAAAUUAAGUAAUUAUUAAUUCUUUUCCUAUCAUUUGAUUCAUUGUUAAAUAUAUUUUUGUGUAGGCAUAUAAUUUUACAUAUCUCACAAAAGUUUUUGAAUAAGACGAACGGUCAAACAUGUGCUAAAAAAGUCAACGGUGUCAAACAUUUCAAAACGAAGGGAGUAUAUAAAUUGAUUAGCAGAAUACAACAACAAAGACAGACCAUAACUAUGUAACAAUGUUAGCAUACAAGGAAGUCAUAACUACAGCACAAAAGAACAGAGACAAGCUGAAAAGCAGUAAAUCUCAAAAUUCAUUUCAUGUUAAUGGAAAACAGUAAGAUGUAUACAACUAAAUCUCAAAAUUCAUUUCAUAUUAAUGGAAAACAGUAAGAUGUAUACAACAGCAAAUAUGCAUUGUUACAACUAAUACUAUUGCUUCAUUAAGUGAUUACUACCGAGGAAACCCAGAUCACUAGUUCAGAAUUACAGUUUAGCGGCAUUGUUAAUUUUUAGUCAAUAUAACCAAGAGAGCAAGAUACCACUAUUCCAAAAACUGCUGUACACCCCUAAUCUAUACAGUUCAUUUAUUGUAGCAUACAAGGAAGUCACAACUACAGCACAAAAGAACAGAAAGACAAGCUGAAAGCAGUAAAUCUCAAAAUUCAUUUCAUGUUAACGGAAAACAGUAAGAUGUAUACUACACCAAAUAUAUAUUGUUACAACUAAUACUAUUGUUUAAUUAAGUGAUUACUACCAAAGAAACCCAUAUCACUAGUUCAGAAUUACGGUUUAUCAGCAAUGUUGAUUUUCAGUAAAUGUAACCAAGAGAACAAGAUACCACUAUUCCAAAAACUGCUGUACACCCCUAAUCUAUACAGUUCAUUUAUUGUACUACAAAAUGAGCACCAUGUCAUCAAGACAACCUCUUAUUAAAGUAGCAAGAAUAUUUCUUCAGAACAUGCUAACAGUCAAGAAAGAUCAUGUACACUGGUAGCAUGCCAACUCAACCAUACAGGCCCGAACUCAUCCAAUUGUCAUAUGUACAGAACAUCUAAAGUUCUGACAAAAAAAACAUCACAUGGACAGCAACAUAUAUCACACAAGUAAUAGGAAUUCACAAGAGAAAUGUGCUGAAUCUUAUACCUGAUCAUCCUUGAGGUAGAGGGUGAUCUUAGUACCCCGUCCAAGCUGCUCACCAGAGGUAUCACGUGUAACAGUGAAGGACCCACCGGCCUGUGACUCCCACACAUACUGCUCGUCGUCGUUGUGCUUGGUGGUCACAACAACCCUCUCAGCAACAAGGUAGGCGGAGUAGAACCCGACACCAAACUGCCCAAUCAUGGACACAUCAGCACCAGCAGCGAGCGCCUCCAUGAACUCCUUGGUCCCCGACCUGGCGAUGGUACCGAGGUUGUUGACGAGGUCCGACUUGGUCAUGCCGACACCACUG
Molecule: long non-coding RNA, 23209 nt
Filed under: Oryza sativa (Asian cultivated rice)
Lineage: Eukaryota; Viridiplantae; Streptophyta; Magnoliopsida; Poales; Poaceae
Description: long non-coding RNA (OSAT_LNC001684)
Rfam family: MIR812 microRNA precursor family (bases 10261-10457)
Source: RNAcentral